GGUCUAAUCUGCCCACUGAUAUUAAUUGAAGGGCCGCGGUAUUUUAACCGUGCAAAGGUAGCAUAAUCAUUAGUUUUUUAAUUGAAGGCUUGUAUGAAUGAUUGGACGAGAUAUUAGCUGUUUCAUAUAAAAUUUAAUAGAAUUUUAUUUUUUAGUUAAAAAGCUAAAAUAAUAGUAAAAGACGAGAAGACCCUAUAGAUCUUGAUAAUUUAUAUAUUUUAUUUAUAUAGAAAUUUUUAAGUAUUAUAUUUAUAAUUAUUUUGUUGGGGUGAUAAUAAAAUUUAAUAAACUUUUAUAUAAAUUUUACAUUAAUUAAUGAAUAAUUGAUCCAUUAUUAGUGAUUAAUAAAUUAAGUUACCUUAGGGAUAACAGCGUAAUUUUUUUAGAGAGUUCAUAUCGAUAAAAAAGAUUGCGACCUCGAUGUUGGAUUAAGAGAUAAAGUUGGGUGUAGAAGUUCAAAUAUUUAGGUCUGUUCGACCUUUAAUUUCUUACGUGAUCUGAGUUC
This 505-nucleotide ribosomal RNA is filed under the name Atylotus albipalpus. Its description in RNAcentral is "partial 16S ribosomal RNA". It matches the Rfam family "Bacterial large subunit ribosomal RNA", at positions 1851 to 2612 of the family's 2925-position model. The record is from RNAcentral. Lineage: Eukaryota; Metazoa; Arthropoda; Insecta; Diptera; Tabanidae.